Molecule: ribosomal RNA, 487 nt
Filed under: uncultured bacterium
Lineage: Bacteria
Description: bacterial SSU rRNA
Rfam family: Bacterial small subunit ribosomal RNA
Source: RNAcentral
GAACGCUGGCGGCGUGCUUGAUACAUGCAAGUCAAGGAGAACAUUAUCUUCGGAUAAUAAGUAAACUGGCGAACGGGUGAGUAACGCGUAAACAACUUGCCUCAGAGAUUGGGACAACAUUGGGAAACCAGUGCUAAUACCAAAUAAUGCAGCGGGCUCUUCGGAGCACAGUUGUUAAAGUAGGCUUCGGCUUACACUUUGAGAUAGGUUUGCGUCCGAUUAGUUAGUUGGUAGGGUAAAAGCCUACCAAGACCAAGAUCGGUAGCUGGUCUGAGAGGAUGAUCAGCCACACUGGAAUUGAGAUACGGUCCAGACUCCUACGGGAGGCAGCAGUAAGGAAUUUUGCACAAUGGGCGAAAGCCUGAUGCAGCAACGCCGCGUGAACGAUGAAGUUUUUAGGAAUGUAAAGUUCUGUCGUAUGGGAAGAGAUCUUUCGAAUGUUAAUACCAUUCGUUAAUGACGGUACCAUACAAGAAAGCACCGGCUA